RNAcentral lists this non-coding RNA (1008 nucleotides) under Trichomonas vaginalis G3. RNAcentral's name for it is "Eukaryotic large subunit ribosomal RNA". It matches the Rfam family "Eukaryotic large subunit ribosomal RNA", at positions 1076 to 2282 of the family's 3401-position model. Lineage: Eukaryota; Parabasalia; Trichomonadida; Trichomonadidae. The record is from Rfam by way of RNAcentral.
UUGUUAGGCAUUUACCUAACUGGAAAUGCUUAAAUGAAUUAGCGUUACAAGUGGGUUCUGACCGGUAAGCGGUCAUGGCGAAAUGGGAUGAACCAUACGUCUGAAUAAGGUGCCGAAAUGUACUAUCACUGAUACCAUAAAGGGAGUCCAUGUAUUUAGACAGCAGGUCGGUGCCCCUAAAAGCAGGUAUCCGCUAAAGAGUGUGUUAAAACUCACCUGCCGAAUACUAGGGCCCCGAAAAUGAAUGGCGCAUAUAGUACUACCGAUCUCAGACAUCAGUUCUAUUGAACUGAGAGUAGGGGGAUGUGGACAUUUUUGUGAAGGUGCAAUGUGAGUUGGACUGGAAGAAUGUCUAUUACAGAUCCUAAUUGAAGUAGCGAUUAUCCAGGCUUGUAUCCUGGGGGCUGAUGAGGAGUAGGGUUUCUGGACAACUUAAACAGAUCCAGAGUUAGUCGAUCCUAAUCUCAAUAAUGGGAGAAAGGGAGUACAGUUGAUAUUCUGUAACUGACAACAGUUCGCGGCAACGCAUACUAUUUUUCUCCGCCAAUCUUAUACCGUUGGUAGGGAUCUCUUUCCUACAUGACAGUACUAAUACCCAGGGAAACUGGUCAUCAGGCGAACUGCGGCGUUCUGCUGGCAAAACAUAGCUUCGGUUAUGUCAAUGGCUAUUGGAUUGGUCCAUGAAGCGAAAAAUAGUUUACUGUGUCACUCGUACCGAUAACCGCAUCAGGUCUUCUAGGUAAGUAGCCUAUGGCCAUUGAGGCAUGAUAGUUCAGGGAAUUCGGCCAAUUAGAGCUGUAACUUCGGGAUAAAGCUUGGCUCUGAUGAAAAUCAGAACCGAUUGUUACGCGGAGAGCCCAACUGUUUAAUAAAAACGUAGUGUCGCGCUGUGGUAGUAUAGCCAGUGAACGCGACAUGAAUCCUGCUCAGUGCUGUGUCUGUUAAUAUGGUUCAAGCCAACGAAGCACCGGUAAAUAGCUGGGGUAACUAUGACUCUUAUCAAAGUAG